Molecule: long non-coding RNA, 479 nt
Organism: Rosa chinensis
Lineage: Eukaryota; Viridiplantae; Streptophyta; Magnoliopsida; Rosales; Rosaceae
Exons: 4
Source: RefSeq, a predicted model, not a curated record
AAGCUGUUGAUUGUUUGCUUGAGCAGGAUUGAUGAGAAUGAUUCAGUAGCUAUGAUGAGGACUACUGAGGAAGCCUUGGAAGCACAGAAAAAUUGCAAAAACCAUCAUUUGAGAUAUCUGGAAAACUUGCUGCUGAAACCAAUAGAUUCAGGGGAAGAAGCUGACUUUUAGAGCAACUCUGAUGCCAAGCUUUUAUCAGAAGCCUCCGCCUCCUAAGGUGGUGCUAAAGAAGAGAAACUGACGCCUUGGGUGUAAUGAAGGAAGUUGAUCACAUUCCUGAUGAUCCUAAAUAUGCAGAAAGUAUAAAGGAAUUGGAGCAGGUCCUUCUAGGUUUUAUUGAAGCCAAAGGCAGUUGAAGGCUAAGAGCCAUUGAGAAUAUGAAUGUUUUUGGUUUAUGUAUAACUAGCUAGGAAUGCUCUUGUUUGGUACAUUAUCUCGUUACUUGAAUGUAUAGAUGUUUGAAUGAUAAUACUUGAAUU